Molecule: ribosomal RNA, 468 nt
Filed under: uncultured bacterium
Lineage: Bacteria
Description: partial 16S ribosomal RNA
Rfam family: Bacterial small subunit ribosomal RNA
Source: RNAcentral
GACGAACGCUGGCGGCGUGCUUAACACAUGCAAGUCGAACGGAAAGGCCCUGCUUUUGUGCUUUGCUCGAGUGGCGCACGGGUGAGUAUCACGUGAGUAUCCUGCCCUUUACUUUGGGAUAACUUCAGGAAACUGGGGCUCAUACCGGAUAGGAGCUCCUGCUGCAUGGUGGGGGUUGGAAAGUUUCGGCGGUUGGGGACGGAAGCGCGGCUUAUCAGCUUGUUGGUGGGGUAGUGACUUACCAAGGCAUGGACGGGUCGCCGGCCUGGGAGGGUGACCGGCCACAUAGGGACAGGGAGAGGGCCCAGAGGCCAACGGGGGGCAGCGGGGGGGAAUAGAGCAAAAAGGGCGGAAGGAGGAAGGAGGAACGCCGGGUGCGGAAUGACGGCCGUCGGGUUGUAACGCGCGUGCGCCUGGGACGAAGAGUGAGUGACGGUAAUGGGUAAAGAAGCAACGGCUAACUACGUG